RNAcentral lists this ribosomal RNA (492 nucleotides) under uncultured bacterium. RNAcentral describes it as "partial 16S ribosomal RNA". It matches the Rfam family "Bacterial small subunit ribosomal RNA", at positions 29 to 507 of the family's 1533-position model. The record is from RNAcentral.
AGUGAACGCUGGCGGUAGGCCUAACACAUGCAAGUCGAACGGCAGCACAGUAAGAGCUUGCUCUUACGGGUGGCGAGUGGCGGACGGGCGAGGAAUACAUCUGAAUCUACUUUUUCGUGGGGGAUAACGUAGGGAAACUUACGCUAAUACCGCAUACGACCUACGGGUGAAAGCAGGGGAUCUUCGGACCUUGCGCGAUUGAAUGAGCCGAUGUCGGAUUAGCUAGUUGGCGGGGUAAAGGCCCACCAAGGCGACGAUCCGUAGCUGGUCUGAGAGGAUGAUCAGCCACACUGGAACUGAGACACGGUCCAGACUCCUACGGGAGGCAGCAGUGGGGAAUAUUGGACAAUGGGCGCAAGCCUGAUCUAGCCAUACCGCGUGGGUGAAGAAGGCCUUCGGGUUGUAAAGCCCUUUUGUUGGGAAAGAAAAGCAGCAGGUUAAUACCCCGCUGUUCUGACGGUACCCAAAGAAUAAGCACCGGCUAACUUCGUG